CAGCCGCCGCGGGAAUACGUAGGGUGCGAGCGUUAAUCGGAAUUACUGGGCGUAAAGCGUGCGCAGGCGGUUCGUUAAGACAGAUGUGAAAUCCCCGGGCUUAACCUGGGAACUGCAUUUGUGACUGGCGAGCUAGAGUAUGGCAGAGGGGGGUAGAAUUCCACGUGUAGCAGUGAAAUGCGUAGAGAUGUGGAGGAAUACCGAUGGCGAAGGCAGCCCCCUGGCCAAUACUGACGCUCAUGCACGAAAGCGUGGGGAGCAAACAGGAUUAGAUACCCCAGUAGUCCCUGUCUCUUAUACA
This 301-nucleotide ribosomal RNA is filed under the name uncultured bacterium. RNAcentral's name for it is "partial 16S ribosomal RNA". It matches the Rfam family "Bacterial small subunit ribosomal RNA", at positions 509 to 808 of the family's 1533-position model. The record is from RNAcentral.